GCUCCGGGCGCCCCGCGGAGGGGACGGCCGUUGGGGCCGUUGGCGGGAGGGGUCACCUGAUCGCCCGCGCGUCCCCGCCGCGGCCUCGCUCUCUCCCGGCGYAGGUCCCGCGCAGCGCGGUUGAAAGCGUCACGUGGCUGCGCCCGCCGCCAGUCAUAGAGGCAGGCGCGGGAGGGUAGAGCGGCCUCGUGCUGACGAGCUCCCGCGCCGCCAUCUUGGUUGUGGGCAGGAGCUGUAAGGCGGCGCCUCGACCGUUGCUCUGGCGCCGCGCGCGUGAGGUGGCUGCGCCCGAUCCGGCCUCGUCCCGUCACCGCCGCUCCCGGGCCCUCGCCGCAGGGGGGACGGUUGUGGUGCCCCCACGGGAGAGGAACCCGGGGCCGCGGAGGGGCGCUGCCGCUCCCCGCCAGGCGUGCGGUGCGCCUCGGGCGUCUGCCGCCGCCGCCGGAGAAGGCGGAGAGGAACGGGAAGGUGGCAAAAGUUGCUGGCGGUGAGGACAGCCAGGCGGUCAGGGGCACAGAGGUGCUCUGGUGCGCCCUGAGAACUGGGAGUGAAUCAGUGAAACGCCACCGUAAAGACGAAGUGAAGUCUUGCUCCCUAGCAACCCAAGUGGCAUGUUUACUGAGUGAAAACAGGGCAUUUUGGAGCAAGGCUAUCCAGGAACUGCAGAGUUGCUGUUUCUCAGGACAGCGAGUGAGAAUGGAGUCCUGGAGCCCUCUGGUGGAUGUAUGUAGAAAGAAGACAGCUGAAAAUUGAGCACAACGAGACUCGCACAGUACAGACAGCGUGUUCCUUAUCUACAAGAUGAGACGAGGCUGUUUUAAUAACUACCAUGAUGAAGAUGGAGAUGAACUUAUAUACAAGAGGAAUUGCCUUCACAUUACACACAUUAUCUUCCUACAAAGCAGCAAUUGUUUUUGCAAAUAACAU
This is a long non-coding RNA of Apteryx rowi (Okarito brown kiwi), 927 nucleotides long. The record is from Ensembl. Lineage: Eukaryota; Metazoa; Chordata; Aves; Apterygiformes; Apterygidae.